CUCUGCGUCUUGUGACCUCUGCUUCCCCAGUACAUGAGAACAUUGAAGAAGGCAUGGCUUCUGUACUCCUGACAGCCGGGGCCAGCAUGGAUUUGCAGUUUCCAAACCAGAUGUCAUCUACCAAUUGGAGAGAAGAGAAGGAUCUUGGAUGCCAAAGGGAAAUAUCCCAAGAAACAACUGCCUAGGACGUGUCUCUGCUCCUUCAACUCUGCCUUCACAGCUUCUGGAUGAGGUACUUCCUUCUGGGCAAGUACCUUUGAUGAUAGCUGCCACAGCAAGUAAUGGUGGUGAAAGAGAGAACUCUCUCUUCCUUGCCAGUACCUGAAGGGAUCAGCCCUGGACAGAGCACAGUAUGAAGAUGGUGUCCCCAGCUCACUUCUUCUGCCUCCUCCUGCUUGGGCUUCCAGAUGCCAAUGGACAGAUUGUGAUAACCCAAUCUCCAACUUCCCUGUCUGUGACUCCAGGAGACACAGUCACCAUCUCCUGCACGGCCAGUCAAGACAUUAGCAAGUAUUUAAAAUGGCACCAACAGAAACCCGGUCAGUCUCCAAAGGGACUCAUCUAUUACACUUCCAGCCUGCAGUCUGGGGUCCCAUCCCGGUUCAGCGGCAGUGGGUCUGGCACAGAUUACACUCUCACCAUCAGCGGUGUGGAGACUGAAGAUGCUGGAGUUUAUUACUGUCAGCAUUAUAAAAGCUAUCCUCCCACAGUGCUCCAGCCCUGAAUAAAAACCUCCCCAGGCAGCUCAGCUGCUUCCUCUGUG
This is a non-coding RNA of Phascolarctos cinereus (koala), 763 nucleotides long. NCBI's taxonomy places the organism in Eukaryota, Metazoa, Chordata, Mammalia, Diprotodontia, Phascolarctidae. The record is from the annotation of a RefSeq genome assembly.